UAGGGAAUCUUCGGCAAUGGACGGAAGUCUGACCGAGCAACGCCGCGUGAGUGAAGAAGGUUUUCGGAUCGUAAAGCUCUGUUGUAAGAGAAGAACGAGUGUGAGAGUGGAAAGUUCACACUGUGACGGUAUCUUACCAGAAAGGGACGGCUAACUACGUGCCAGCAGCCGCGGUAAUACGUAGGUCCCGAGCGUUGUCCGGAUUUAUUGGGCGUAAAGCGAGCGCAGGCGGUUAGAUAAGUCUGAAGUUAAAGGCUGUGGCUUAACCAUAGUACGCUUUGGAAACUGUUUAACUUGAGUGCAAGAGGGGAGAGUGGAAUUCCAUGUGUAGCGGUGAAAUGCGUAGAUAUAUGGAGGAACACCGGUGGCGAAAGCGGCUCUCUGGCUUGUAACUGACGCUGAGGCUCGAAAGCGUGGGGAGCAAACAGGAUUAGAUACCCUGGUAGUCCACGCCGUAAACGAUGAGUGCUAGGUGUUAGACCCUUUCCGGGGUUUAGUGCCGCAGCUAACGCAUUAAGCACUCCGCCUGGGGAGUACGACNCGCAAGGUUG
This 551-nucleotide ribosomal RNA is filed under the name uncultured bacterium. RNAcentral's name for it is "bacterial SSU rRNA". It matches the Rfam family "Bacterial small subunit ribosomal RNA", at positions 355 to 896 of the family's 1533-position model. The record is from RNAcentral.